CUUACUUGACUAAUUGUCUUCUUCUAUUUUAUCCUAAAUUUUAGCACUGAACUACUACUAGCUACCUAGUAAAACAGAAGAGGAUGAGUAGUCAGGGCAACGCUGACAGUGGUGUUCGAGACGGUCUCCAAGGUGGAGCCGUUCAGGCAGUGCGUUCUCCGGCUGUGAGAGAAAGGGAAAGGAAAGGGGAAGGGAGAAGGCCAAUGGCACCACCUAAAAGAGGAAGUGUGAUGAAGCAGAUUGUGGCUGAUUUGUGUGAAGUUAAACUUUUCGCCUUUGAUUCGAAUGAAGCUACUUGAUUAAUUGCUCCACAUAGUCAUUGACAUGAUAUCUAUGUAUGCUUUUCGUAUAUACUUUUCAUUCCCUUUUCCUUUUCUCGUGAAAUGUGGUAUUGAGGAUCGAGCACAAUGGAGUCAGCAUUUUGCUAAUGACAACAACAAAAUUAAGUACGCAUUGUUUCCAUCUCUCGAUAGAAAUCAAUACUGUUACUGAAUUAUGUAUUCUACAGUUAUUUAUUUUUAAUUAUGUGGUGUGUUUGGAAGUAUUCUUAUUAAGAAUUUUAUUCUAUUUUAUUAUUUCAGUAUAAUAUUCGCAAUUCCUAAAUUCAAAGCAAAUUUAAUAUACGAAAUAAUAAUUGUUAAUUACAGUAUUCACUAACUACAUUUAAAGAAAUCAAAGUAGAUUACCUAUAUGUGAUGUGAUUCAAAGAGCUGGCUAUGUAUGAGUGUCGAAGAAAAACAGUAAAGGGUAUCCUUUUGGUAGCAAAGCUUUGGUCAAUGUUACUUCCUUUUUUCUCCUGCAACUUGUUUUUUUGUUUCUUCUUUUUUGUUUUGGUGCUAGUGCACUGAUGUUUUCUUCUUUUCUCCUUACGACUUGUGUUUACUUUUCUUUUUUUUUUUUUUUUUUUCACGUUUUAGUGCUGCAACACUUGGAUGUUUUUUAUUUAACUCUUUCGGUUGUUUUGGUGCUAUGGGAGUUAUCUUUUUUUUUUUUUUUUUCUUUUUGUAAUGGUUUAAAUGCGACUUAAAUUAACCGUGUUUAGUUAGACUAUUUUAUUGUAAAAUGUUAUUCUUUGCAACCGAAAAUAAAUUAUUAAAAUUCAUCCUUAAAUUAAAAUUGUCCCCUAAGUUUAAUAUGAGUAAAAUAUCAUAAUAAACUUAAAUCGUCGGCUUUGUUUCCUAUUAUAAAAAAAAGGGACAAUUUUUGAAAUUAUUUCCUUAUUUCAAGGGUUAUGACUUGGAUACAAAUAAUAUCCACCGUCUCCAAUUUUCGUCUCCUUUUCUCACUUUUUUUUGUGGUGGUCACUUAAUCUUUCAUAUUACUCAUACUUCUAUUUUGAUAUACUUAAUAUUUAUAUUUAUAUCUAAAAAUAUAUUUGGUUCAAUGUAGCAGGUUGAAGUAUAUAUCCAAACUCCUAAUUAUUACAGACAAAAUCCGUGGCAUUAAAUAUUUUGAGGACAUUAAGAUUUGUUACAGUGAAAUUGUUCGGCCUAAAUAGAGCCAUCUAUCACAACUCUAUCUCUAUUUCAUAACACGAAGAAAGAAUCAUAGCCUUUCAUUAUUUUUUUUUCACCUUUUUUUUUAUCAUAUUCAUUAAUAGCUUUGAGGAAUACUUCCAAUUUUGCUUAUAUGUUUUCACUAACUCAAAAAAUGCAUUGAACUAUUGUUUAAAAAUAUUAUGUUAAUUUAUAUUAAUUAUUACAGCAUUAUUGAAAACUCAUAUGGACGAGAAUAUUCAAAUUUAAAAUCACUGUAAUUCUCAAAAAAAAAUUAAAAUUAAAAUCACUGUUUUCUCACCUUUAAAAGAAAUGAAAUUGAAAAUAUCAAAUAUAUAUACGUAAUUAAUAUCAUUUUAGCCACAUAAUUUUCAAUUGGUUGAUUUAACAAUCAAAUUUCAUUAUAAUAAACCAAAUAAAAAUCGAAUCAAAUCACUGAGUUGGACCAAACCGGUUCGAAUUAAAUCGGAAUGGUCUAGAAGCUCUAGAUUUCUCCUUUCCUUUUCUUUUUCUUUUCUUCUUCUUCUUCGGCGACACGCCUCUCCUCUCCUCCCUCUCCUUCCCUCUUGUUUCGGCCAUCUGAGACAGUCGAAUCACGCUCUCCUCGUCGUUGCGCCACCAUUGUGCUGCAGUUCUUUCCCCUCUCUGUUUCCAUCUUCAGCGGGCGCAGCAAAUUGGUGAGCUGCGAUCCCUCUCACUGGCGAUCGACGCAGCUGCCCCACCUGCCUCCAAACGCUACUCAAUGUCACGUUCUUUCCCUGCUCACGAGUCCAGUGAGCGCUGAACACGGAGGAACUGCAGUUUUUUUUUGUAAUUGGUGGCGACAAUGACGGCGAUACUAGACCCCUGCCAAGCCCGCUAUGACUGAGUGUAGGGCCAAUCUAGCGAAACAAAUGCCAAAAAUGAAUUCUUGAGCAAAAUCUGAGCUAGAUGGUGUAAAGAGAGCUCGAUUCCGAGCACUCACGAUUUUUCGGCCACCGUGUAUGGUUGCCAGAGGCUGCGGUCCGGCGAUCGGCCGGCGAGUCUAUAGCAUGCCCCAAGAGACAAAAUGAUCUUCUCUUUGUGCAAAUCAUAGAAUCAGAGAUUCUCAAUCGGUACGCUCUAAGACUUAGUUCGUCAUUUUUGUUAAAAAUUUCAAACUUAAAUUAAUUGGUUAAUUUAGUUAAUUUCGAAUAAAUAAGUAAUAGAAGGACUUUGAAAUAUUCAGUUUUGAAGUUUGUGAAAAUAAUUGGAGUUUUUAGGAGAUUUGAACUUGAGAUUCAAUUGUUAGAAAUUGUGAUUAUAUUAGAUGAUUGAUAACGUAAGUUAACUAGAAUUGAUUAUUGUUGUGAAUUAAAAUCUAGGAAGUUUAGUUUUAUAUGACUAUGAUAUUGAGCCUUAUUACCUCUAAGUGUAAAUCAUGAAUCAAUAACAAGUACUUGGUUAUCUUUAUUAACUUGUGAUUUAGUUGUUAGUUAAAGAAUGUAUAACCUAUAAUACAAUUGUGGAUGAGUUGAUCUUGGAUCCUUUUGGUGCAAUGAUGGGAUGGUGUUAGUAAACUGUUCAUAAUUAAAAGGGAAUGAACUAUUAAUCAAUCGAUUAUUAUGUUGUUGUAAUUAUAAGCAUUUUGGAUAGGCUAAUAAUGUGAGGUUUAGAAUUUUUUAGAAUGAUUAAGUGCAUAUAUGUGUGUGUGUGGUGGUUAAUGAAUAAUGGUUAUGGUAGACGGGAUUAGUUAUUGUGAAUUGCCAAUGGACGGGCUUGAGAAUUUAUUAUUGAAUUAUAGUUUUAAGCGGGUGAUUUAGCCCAAUUUCUAGAGAAGGUUGUGCUGAAGUUUCGCUAGAAUCUAGGGUAAUUAUAUAUAAUAAUUAAAUUAAUAGGUUUAUUUGGAUUAAUCUUAUACCUUAAUAUAUUUAAAAUUAAACUCUUUAUUUAUUUAUUUAUUUAUUUAUUUACUUAUUUAUUUAUUUUUAAGAACCGAUUAUUAUAGAAUAUUAUUAUUUAAUACUCUUGUAUUUAUUUGAAUUGGUAUAUGGAUGUUUAUUUGUAUUCUUGUAUGAAAAUGUUUACUUGAUUAAUGUGCUUGCAUUUAAAAGCAAUGUUUGAUUAUUUGUGUUGUGACAUUGCUAUGCCUUGUUUAUAUGGAGUUGAGAUGAAGUGGGUUACCAUGGGUUUGUGAGGACGGUCCUGGAAAUGAUGAAAAUGUGGAAUUUGACGGUCGACCAAGUAUGGAGAGAUCGCGAUCCCGUGUGCACCUGAUGAUAUGAUAUGGAUGAUAUGGAAAACCACAGGAUGGCCUCUUAUUCGUAUAAAAAAGAAAAGAUAGAAUGGAAAAACAAUGAGAGGGUCGAUCAAAUGAGGAUUAGACCGGUCGACCAUGUAUGGGGAUCGGUUCCCUGAUGCACAUGUCAUUAGAGAAUGGGCCAUGUGGGAAGACGACUCAUAGGGGUUUCGGUGACACCACAUACCAAUUUUCACAUGAUUAUGUGAAGUUGUUAAUAAUUUUGAGUGCUGUUGUAUGCCAUUUGUAUGACUGUCAACGUGAUCAUAUAACUAAUUAGAUGACUAGAUUGAUAUAUUUAUGCAUUUGUGUGAAUACAUAUAUUGUGCAAUAAUUAUUAUUCCUUAUAAAACUCACAUAUCUUGUUUAACUUUUCAAGAAGUAGGUUCCUCUUUAUUCUGAAUUAAGUUCUAUUUCUUCACUGUAGAGUUAGAAAGAAAUUUUUCUAGUUGCAGUGAUUAUUUUGCUAUAUAACUAUUUGUACAAGAACUUAUUUAUAUCUGUCUGUUAGUGAACUCCGCAGUUGUAGGGAUGAAAUCAAUAAACUAAUGAGGAUGUUCAAUUAAUUAUUUAUGAAAUGUUUGAAUCUGUUAGCCCAUAUAUCGUAUUAUAUUUGGCCCCGAGCUAUAAAUUGUUUAAGAUGUUAAAUUUUUCCAAAGAAUAAUAAAAUUAUGAGAUUUAUAGUGCAUGACAAUAUGGGCCGGAUGUUUGAAAUAGACAUAAUAUAGUUAAGUUUUGUAAUUUAGGCUUACUACAGGCCUCGGUGGCCUUAAACUUACCUAGGCCCUAGUGCCGGUUUUGCCCAUGGAAAUGGGUCGUGACAAAGUGCAACUUUAACUAAUUCUUACUUAAUCUCUUUCUAAUUUGGUUGUCUUAAUUUAAUUUAGUUCUAAGUAUGAGACUUCAUCAAUCACUAUUAGGUUUAAUUUCAAUUAGGGUAUUUUACUUUAAUUUAAUUUUAGGUGUGACUUAAUUUAAUUCAAAUUGGAUUGUUUAAUUAAUUUGAUUCAAGUAUGACUACUUAAUUGUUACUUCAUUUAACUUUAGUUUAAAGAUCUUAAUUUAAUUUGAUUUUUAAAUACGAUUUAUUAGAGUGUAAAUUAAUCAUUCAAGUUAUUGCCUUUAUCUAUAUGCAUUAAAAUUUAUAUGUGGAGAAUGUCGAAUUAAUUUGAUUUAAGUGUGACUUACUCAAUUGUUACUUCAUUUAAUUUUAGUUUAGAUAUCUUAAUUUAUUUGAUUUUUAAAUAUGAUUUAAUAGAGUGUAAAUUAACCAUUCAAGGUUUUGUCUUUAUCUAUAUACAUUAAAAUUUAUAUGCAGAGAACGUUCCAUAGACUUAUCAUAAGAAAAUGUAUAAUACGUGUCAAAAUAAUUUGACAACGAUUGAUCCUAAGAUUUUACUUAUACUCAUGCCAAAAUGUGCGAUUAUAUGUCAUUUGAGUUAUAACUUUCAAGUGUGACAUAAUCAAUGGUUACUUGGUUUAAUUUAAUUUCAAGUGUAACUUAAUUUAAUUUGAAUUAGAUUAUCUAAAUUUAAUUUGAUUCAAGUGUGACUAAGUGUGAUUUAUUUAAUUUUUAUUUCAUUAAAUUUCAAUUUAAAUAUCUUAAUUUAACUUAAUUGUUAAAUUAAUUAAUAAAAUAUAAAGUAAACUUAAAUGAGAUUGGCCUAACGGUAAAGAGUACUUGCGAAGGUAGAAAUUAUAUUUUUAGGUCAUUGGUUCAAUCCUUACACUCAAAACUCUAGAAAACAUUCACAAUUUUUCUAUGCAUUUCACAACUUAAUUAUUAUUUAAUGCAUUGGUUCAAUCCUUACACACAAAACUCUAGAAAACAUUCACAAUUUUUCUAUGCAUUUCACAACUUAAUUAUUAUUUAAUGCACCUAUUAGCGUAGUGACAUUUAUAUGUAGAACUAAUUUUCAAGUAUAACAAAUAUGACUUAUUUAAUUGUAAUUUGAAUGUUUUAAUUUCAUAUGAUUCCAAAUGUAACAAAGUAUGGCCUAAAAAAAAUCAAGUUAAAGGAAAAUUAAGUGACAUGUGAUUAUUUAUGUCUCAUAAAUCAUUAAGACACUUGGAAGAAUAUAAUUUGCUAAUUGAUGAGGUAAAAACAAAAUAAAUGUCUAGUAUGUGCAUUGAUAAUCUCAUUCAUUCAAUACUUUGUUUAGAGUUAUUAAAUGAUGAAAAAGAAAUAUUUAAAAUUCAAAUUUUAAAUCUCUUCCUCUCUAUGUCAAAUCUACCAAUUUUAAGUGAGGAUUGAAAGUGACAUUUGACAUAUUAAAUUUGAAUUAAAAUGUCAUUUUAAAUCCCAUGAUCCUUGAUCACCAUGUGCUAAAAACCUUUUUCUUUUGAAUUUUACUAUUCCCUCCAUUCUUUUUAUAUAUAUAUAGGAAAAUUUUCUAUUUUGGGUGUUCUUUUUACAUAGAAAAUUUUGUCUAAUUUAAUAACUUUGGGAACCAUGCUAAUUUGAAAAGUCUAUCUUACCAUUAUUUUAGUCUUUUUUUAAGCUUUUAGGAUGUGAAAUUCUCAAGAUAGUGGCAGGCAAAUAUAUAGAUGAACAUUUAAUGUGAAGAAGUUUUAGAGAAUUGUUUUUUUACAUCAAUUUUCAUUAAAAAGAAAAUGUGCUCAUAUAGGUGAUUUGAUUGUCGACUAAAAUGGAGUUUGAAAAGAAAAUGACCAGAAACUUUUUAGAUUGACCAUAAUAAAAAGAAUCCUUACUGAUUUCGCUCGAAUAUUUGAAAAAAUUGUGCGAUAUUUAAACUACGUUUACAAUAGCUAAAAACAUCUUGAAGGUUAAAUGAGCACAAAUUAAAAAUUUCCACACAACUUUACUAAAUAAAGGACUAAAAACCAAAAUUUUCUCCACAAGUCAGAGCAUAAACUUUAAUUUUUGCAACCAUCUUUAUACUCUUCAUUCCAACAAAGCAUUUAAAGCAUAAUUAAAGAUUGAAAUAUAAUUUAAGGGAUACAUUGAUAUUAGAGAAGGAAUAAAUGAGAUAUUAGAAGUAAAUUAGGAAAGCAAAUGACAAAAAAAGUUGAUUAAACUACUUUCUUAAUCUUUAUGGAAAGUUAGUUGUUCCUAUAUAAAAAGAACGGAGGGGGUAUAUAUAUAUAUAUUUUUUUAGUUUUCAAUUAAUUAAAUGCUAUAAAGUAAAGACGUAAUUAUCCUUUAUCACGUGAGAAGAAUUUUUAUAAUUAAAUUUCAGAUUUAAGUUCUUUGUUGAUCCUUGAGCAACAUUUAUUGCAUUUAAUUAGUUCCAAUGUAUAUCACUUUUAAUUCUAAUGACCAUUUAUUAAAGAAUUGAUUGCUGGCUAAAUGCUCAAUUAGUGUUUCCAUUGGCUUAUAAACAAGAAGAUUACAAAAGAAAAAGAUGUAAUAUUAAAAAUUAAAUAUACUUUAGAUAAUAUCAUGAUUUAUACUUUAAAGAAUUAUAUAAUUUGUAUAUUAAAGAAUUUAUAUAUUCAUUUAUACUUAUAAAAAAAUAUAUGUAUUAGCUAUGAAACUAGAAAUAAAAUGGAAGUACGAAUCUAAUUAAAAAAACCUUUAAGAUUAUUUAUGUUAUGGAUUUUCAUUUAAUUAAAUUAACGAAGUAUUACGUUCAUAAAUAUCUUAAUUUCAACUAUAUUAUUCAUAUAUGAUUUAUUUAUUAUUUUCUUUUGACAAAUUAAUAAUUUCUCUUCAAUUCAUAUAAUAUUAUAAUAUAUUUAUUAUAAUCCAUGAAAAUAUAGAAUAUUUUUUAACCGAAAAAAGUAUUUUUUAUUUAAUCUAAUUAUGAUCACAGAAACUUUCUAACUAAUUAAACUCUAAACAUGAAAAAAAUACUAACUAAUUCAAUUAAGUAUAUUAGUGUUUAAUAGAAUUACUGUUAUGCACUUAUUUAAAUUAUAAUAUUAUAUUAUAUUAUAUUAUAUUAAUUAUUAUAUUUAAUUUGAUUAUUCUUAUUAAUUUUUUAAUUUCAUUACAGUGUGCUCAACUUUAUUAAUUUAUUAUUUAUUCUUCAAUACAGUGUGCUCAACUUUGAAAAUAAUUUAUCUACAUUCUAAAAAAAUAUAAAUAUUUAUUAUUUUAUUAUUUUAAUCAAUUCAUAAUGAAACAUUAUAUUUUAAUUACAAAAUGCUAGAAUAUUAAGUGUAUAUGACUGUGCAUACAUAUGAAAGAUUGAAUAACUAUAUAAUCGAAAUAUAUGGAUCAAUAGUAGUAUAUAUGAAUUUUAAGAAGUAGUUUAUCAAUAUAGCGAUAUUUUUCAAUUCUAUAGAAUAAAUAUAUGCAUGACAUACAUAACUAUAACACAUGGUUUAUUUCAUAAAAUAUUAAUGUACUAAUUGAAUCAUAAGAAUAAAUAUUUAGCAUACAUACUAAUUAUGUGAAGCAAAGGUAUAUGUAGUUAUGAAAUUAUAAGAGAUGUUUAAAUCAUAAAAUAUUAAAAUAGUAAUUAACUCAUAAGGAACAAUUUUAAUAAAUACUAUUUCAUUAAAUUUAAAAAAUUAAAGUUACCUUGAAAUUUCAAUUUGAAAAUUGAUUUAACAUAAAUCAAAAUAUGAUAAUUCAUGUAUCAAUAUGUGUUUUUGUAUUUUAUAAUCAUAAGUAUAAUUUUUCAAAUAUUUCUAUAUGAAUUAAUUAAUAUAGUAAAUUAGUAAAUGACUAUUUUUUUUACUAUAGAAAAAUAGUAAUCAUGUAUACGUAAUCAUGUAUACGUCAUCAUGUAUACGUCAUCUCUGUUUCUUUACAAUAUUAAUUAAUUUAGUAUAGUGCAGACGCUUAACCUCCAAGUUUUCCUCCCGCGUUAUAUUUACACAGCAAUUGAAACAUGAGAACCUCACACAAGCUUAGCAAGUGAAAGCAGAGAGAGAGAGAAAGAGAUGGAUAAGAAGAAGCAACAAGAAGAGGGGUCCAACUCCAACAACAAGGCCCUAAAAGAAGCAUUUUUCCCAACAAAAGAUGGAAGUGUUUUUCCACCAAAGAAGAAGUUAGUAAAGAGGAUGGUGUUCGAUUGUUUGGUCCAUUCCACUACAGCAAACAAGCAGCAGACAGCUUGUAGCUGCUUUCUAGACUGCAAGAAGAGCAAGCCCAUAUUUCCAAACCCUUAGAUUGUAUCUAUAUUGCCUUUAAAUGUAUGGCAAUAGUGUAUAUAUGUGUCUUCCUUUAUAUGUUCUUUCUAGUUUCGUUAAUUUAGAUAGUUUUUAAUUAUUAAAAUGUAUUAACUUCCUCUCUAAUAUUAUGUUUUCUACACUUCUUUGGCUUUGCAUUCCAAUCUUUAAUUAUUUAUCUUAUGUUAUUUGUUUAAACCUAAUCAGAACAAAUUCCGGUAAUAAUAUGUUUCUCCAAGUUAAGAAAAUAAAGCAAAUGAGAGUUGAAGUCCACUCCGGGGGACAGAAUUCACUAAAGAGAAGACAAAAAAUCGUUUCCUUGCAAUGACACGCCAUACAGAAACAAGAUCGUCUUAGUUGUCUUGAAGGGAAAAAUCCAAAACAAUUAGUGAGAUGAAAACAAUUAGGGCAUUGGACAGUACUAGAUUGUCUGGUCGGCCACUUCUCCAAAUUUGCUUUCUGCAAUUAGCACUUAGCCAAAAGUACAAGUCCAUUAAAAUCUCAUUACAUGCCACGGUGAUCGGUCUACUCUUUCAUUUGUGUCUUUCUUUUUUCUUUUUUUAAAGGAUACAUUUUUGUCUCAAUUGCUUGAAAAAUACACAUCUAGUUAAAUCUUAUAAAAUUUAUUUACAUAAAUAGAAAGAAAUGAAAUAAGACUAAGUAGAAUCAGAUUAAACAGUACGAAGUAAUUUAAAAUGUUUAUAAAGUAUCUAAUCUUAAUACUUAAUCUAAUUAAAUGAUAUGUACAAAACAGUAAAAACAAAUUUUAGAUAUUGACAGUUAAAUUGAAGUAAUUAUCUCCAAAUACCAACUGCACCACUUCCAAAAGAAAUAAGAAAGAAAAAUGAAUAUAUAAACUAAAAAGAUUGAGAGCACCGGCCACCAUCUGUUUAAGCAACCAAAAUUCCAGCUAAUGUAAUCCAAUAAAUUUCUUCUUACAUAAUUACCGUACAAACUUUGAUUGUCUUGCAAUCUUAUAUAUAGAGCAAUCGGAUAGAUUAGGGUAGACUGAAAUCAUGGCUCCAGCCAUAGAUUAAAUCAAUCAAAAUAUGAAGUUUUAUUGAAAGGAUGGUAAGUCUAACUAUACACCAGGGAAUAAAAAAAGGACUAAUAUAUAAAAAAUUAUUAUUUUUAUUGAUUUGGUUCAUAAGUGGAGUAUUUUCCUGGGGGUGGCAGUAUUUAUUAAUGGUCUUAUCAUGAAUUUUGAUCAGAAAAGGAAAAGAAAAGGAAAGGAAAGCUUCUACUGCUACGACAUGCUUAUGCUAUGAGGAAUAUUGGAAUAUUUAAAAUUUUUCCUCCUUUGCGUAAUUCUUUUGCAUCUUCCAAAGAUCAAAAUACAUAAUGCAGGAUUAAAGGUGAGAAAAUUGAUGCACUACAACAAAAAGUUGAAACUCAUUCUUGGAAUCCAAUUGACAUCUUUCAUACAUCAUUUCUAAUCUCAAUUACCCAUUUUGAACCCUAAUACUAGUAUUUAACGUUACACGUUACUACUCGUUCAAAUUACUCCAAUUUUAUUCGUAAAAUAAAAGGUUAUAUUAUAAAUCCAAUAUAUUCUCAUAAUAUUUAAUUACAAUGAAAAUUUAUAAAUAAGAAUUAUAUUAAGAAUCUAAUUUCAUCAAAUAAAAAUUGUAUUACAAAUGCAAUCUAUAUUUUAAUGUGUAAAAUAUAAUAUUUUAUUAUAAUGAAAUUCAUAAAUAAAAAGUAUAUUAUUUGCAUAUACUCGUAAUUUAAUUUGUUAUAUAUAUAAUGUAAUAUUAUAAAAUAUUUAUAAUACGAAAAAUUUUAGAGAACAAUAUUAAUUUAAUUAUCAAUAACUAAAGAUAUUUUUUAUUUGUAAAAUAAAUUAAUAAAUUUGUAAAAAAAAUGUUUACCUAAUAUUCAACAAAAGUAGAACAAGUAUUCAAGUCAAUUAAAAAAAUUAAAAUAAAAUUUAAUAGAAAAAUAAUUAAAUAAAAAUAUUUCACAAAAGAAAAUUAUAAUUUUUACCCUAAUUGUCAUAGAUAAAAAAACUAUGCAAAAGAAUUUUCUGUUAACUGAUUUUCCUAAAAACCCAAAAAUCAGAAAAUCAAAUUAUUUUUCAAAAAUAAAGGAAACUACAAUAUUGAAUAAUUUUGUUCUUAAAAAAACUCUAAAUUGAACUAAAACAAUGGCAUAUGCAUAGAUUUAAUAUAUACUCGUUUUCAAUCCAUUUAAUUAACCCAAAUUUAUUUUAAAUGAACUUUUAUGAAUUUAACACCCAUAAAAAUCUGGGUCACUUCUAUCCCUAAAUGCAACUGAAACUCUAUUUUUUAUGUUAUGAUAUUUUGAGACAUGAAUGAAAAUUAUCUAAUCCUGAACAUUCCAUUAUAUAUAUAUAUAUAUAUAUAUAUAUAUUUAUAUAUAUAUAUAUAAUGAAUAUGAGGAAAAUAUAUAAAAUAAUGUUAUUUUUUUAUUAAAAAACAAAAAAAAAUUGUUUUUUGGUUUUUACUCACUUUGAUGCCCUAUCAAACGUACACAUCAGCAGCAACAACUUCAACGGUAUCUUUCUACACUGCAGAACUACCGACCUACAACAACUCGACAAAGACUUCUGGACAAAUUGAAUUUACAACGCUCUAUCCGCAUCUUCAAGUUCCACACCCGCUAUCCAGGAGCGUGCAUUCACGACUCAUCAACGCUGUAAAUGGGUAAAAUUACGUAUGGGGACUGUGAGACUGUGAACUAGGGCUCGAGGCGGGCCUGCAGUGAUGAAACCCAAUUAAAGUUCAAAUAUUGGGCUUACAUUGGACCCAACAGCUUAAAUAAGUUUGAACCUGAGUAAGCUUUGGGUCAUUCCAAAAAUAAUUCUAAAUAUUUUCUUAUACUUAGAUUUUUUUUUUUAUAUAUAAAUUUUUAAGCAACUGAAUUGAAAUUCAAAUGUAAGCACUUGUUAUUACACAAAUAGUCUGUGUGUGGAAAAAAAUAUAAGGGAUUAUAGUUAAAUUAAUAUAUGAAAAAAUUUUAUUUUCAAAAACUAAUAAUGAGGUCCCUAAUUUAUGAUUUCUUUAACACUUUGAUUUUUUUUUUUUUUUAAAUAUCUUCUCGCUGUUAAUUGACCAAGUUAAAUUGUAGUCAAACUAGCUAUGAUAUGUAACAUUAUCAAUUCUGUAAUACUAUUAUUGUAUUUGUUAUGAGUUAAAAUUUUAAUAUUUUUAACUAAUUUUCAAUAUUGUAACCAAAUAACGAAAAAUAAGUCAUUUGGAAAAUAUUUUUUACAAAUAAGUUAUUUUUCGGAAACAAACGAGAGACUUAAUUACUUUUUAAUAUCAAAUAAUGGAAUUAAUGCCAAUGGUUUGUAUAUCCUUGCUCUAUUGUAGUAUAAACAAAAGAAGAUUAAAAUAAUGAGUUUCGAGUUAGUAGUAUCUGUAUUAUCAUUAUUGUGAGUUUGAACUCAAAAAUGACUAAUAAAAAUAAAUAUCUAUGAAUGCAGAAAGUCUGUAAUUAAUGUGCAUAUGUAUUUAGUAAAAAAUGGGAUAUUUCAGUUACAAAGUAGGACAACUAGUGGCUCGGAUCGUAAUUUGAUUGAAGUAAACGACAAAGCUUGUCUCAUUUAUAAACAAGACCUGUCUUUUCUUGGAAACUUCAUAUUUGAAGUCUGAAGAAAAUUAUUACCAAAUCAACCAACAUUAUAAUUGGCAAGUAACGUCUGGAUGUAAAAAAGUGACUGUAGGAAUAGGAUGUAUUCGAUUUGGAAAGGUAAGACUGUGUUUGGGUUAGGGAUUAAAGAAAAUAAUGAAGGAAAAUAUAUAUAAAAAAAAAGUUGAGAGCAAAAUAAGGACGGAAAAUGAUUUUAUGAAUAUUAAAAUUAUGAGUGUAAACUUUUUUUUUUAAUAAAAAUACAAUAAUUGGGGUAAAAUUAUAAUUUUAAUUAAUUUUCUCCAACAUUCCUUUGAAAUUGAAGAUAAAAUGAUACGUGGAUACCAUCAUUUAUUUGCCUUUUUUCCAUAUUUUUUCAUUCCCAAACAAGUGGAGAAAAGAAAAUUUGCGACUGGGAAGACACUACAAACUAGGCUAGGACACAAGAGUGGUUUCCCAUAAAACAGGAGGCUUCAAAAAAACAGUGGGCAAGUUUGAUACAUAAAAAAUCCUAGAUAAAACAAAGAACCAUAUUUAGCCACGUAAAAAUCCUUGCAAGAGACAAAAUUGAGUGACGCAAAGAGUGACAUCACUUUUCUUUCCUGCAUUACAUCAUCGUCGGCUGCGCAUGCUCUUGUACAGUACAUGUCUUUAAAUCCUUACUUGACUACUUGUCUCCUCCCAUUUUAUCCUAAAUUUUGGCACUGAACUACUACUAGCUACCUAGUAAAACAGAAGAGGAUGAGUAGUCAGGGCAACGCUGACAGUGGUGUUCGAGACGGUCUCCAAGGUGGAGCCGUUCAGGCAGUGCGUUCUCCGGCUGUGAGAGAAAGGGAAAGGAAAGGGGAAGGGAGAAGGCCAAUGGCACCACCUAAAAGAGGAAGUGUGAUGAAACAGAUUGUAGCUGAUUUGUGUCAAGUUAAACUUUUCACCUUUGAUUCGAAUGAAGCUACUUGAUUAAUUGCUCCACAUAGUCAUUGACAUGAUAUCUAUGUAUGCUUUUCGUAUAUACUUUUCAUUCCCUUUUCCUUUUCUCGUGAAAUGUGGUAUUGAGGAUCGAGCACAAUGGAGUCAACAUUCUGCUAAUGACUACAACAAAUUUAAGUACUCACUGUUUCCAUCUCUCGAUAGAAAUCAAUACUGUUACUGAAUUAUGUAUUCUAUAGUUAUUUGUUUUUAAUUAUGUGGUGUGUUUGGAAGUAUUCUUAUUAAGAAUUUAUUGUAUUUUAUUAUUUCAGUAUAAUAUCCGCGGUUCUUAAAUUCAAAGCAAAUUUAAUAAACGAAAUAAUAAUUAUUAAUUACAGUAUUCACCAAGUACAUUUAAAGAAACCAAAGUAGAUUACCUAUAUGUGAUGUGAUUCAAAGAGCUUGCUAUGUACUGAGUGUUGAAGAAAAGCAGUAAAGGGUAUCCUUUUGGUAACAAAGCUUUGGUCAAUGUUACUUCUUUUUUUCUCCUGCAACUUGUUUUUUGGUUUCUUCUUUUUUGUUUUGGUGCUACUGCACUGAUGUUUUCUUCUUUUGCCCUUACCACUUGUGUUUA
This 13969-nucleotide long non-coding RNA is filed under the name Jatropha curcas. RNAcentral's name for it is "long non-coding RNA (JCUR_LNC001969)". Lineage: Eukaryota; Viridiplantae; Streptophyta; Magnoliopsida; Malpighiales; Euphorbiaceae. The record is from RNAcentral.